GGGGAAUCUUGCGCAAUGGGCGAAAGCCUGACGCAGCCAUGCCGCGUGAAUGAUGAAGGUCUUAGGAUUGUAAAAUUCUUUCACCGGGGACGAUAAUGACGGUACCCGGAGAAGAAGCCCCGGCUAACUUCGUGCCAGCAGCCGCGGUAAUACGAAGGGGGCUAGCGUUGCUCGGAAUUACUGGGCGUAAAGGGCGCGUAGGCGGACAGUUUAGUCAGAGGUGAAAGCCCAGGGCUCAACCUUGGAAUUGCCUUUGAUACUGGCUGUCUUGAGUACGGGAGAGGUGAGUGGAACUCCGAGUGUAGAGGUGAAAUUCGUAGAUAUUCGGAAGAACACCAGUGGCGAAGGCGACUCACUGGCCCGUUACUGACGCUGAGGCGCGAAAGCGUGGGGAGCAAAC
Molecule: ribosomal RNA, 400 nt
Filed under: uncultured bacterium
Lineage: Bacteria
Description: bacterial SSU rRNA
Rfam family: Bacterial small subunit ribosomal RNA
Source: RNAcentral